This 102-nucleotide ribosomal RNA is filed under the name Entrophospora lutea. RNAcentral describes it as "Claroideoglomus luteum partial 5.8S ribosomal RNA". It matches the Rfam family "5.8S ribosomal RNA", at positions 50 to 154 of the family's 154-position model. From Rfam's summary of the family: 5.8S ribosomal RNA (5.8S rRNA) is a component of the large subunit of the eukaryotic ribosome. It is transcribed by RNA polymerase I as part of the 45S precursor that also contains 18S and 28S rRNA. The record is from RNAcentral. RNAcentral also lists the same sequence under 1 other name. Lineage: Eukaryota; Fungi; Glomeromycota; Glomeromycetes; Entrophosporales; Entrophosporaceae.
AAAUUGCGAUAAGUCAUGUAAAUUGCAAAACGUGAAUCAUUGAAUUUUUGAACGCAAAAUGCACUCUCUGGUAAUAUGAGAGUAUGCCUGUUUGAGUGUCAG